This is a long non-coding RNA of Ipomoea nil (Japanese morning glory), 588 nucleotides long. RefSeq lists it as uncharacterized. Lineage: Eukaryota; Viridiplantae; Streptophyta; Magnoliopsida; Solanales; Convolvulaceae. The record is from RefSeq and is a predicted model, not a curated record. The transcript has 3 exons.
UUCUUCUUCUUCUCCUUCGUCAAUGAAGAACUAAUUGAGUAAUCUCUUUCUGAAAUCUGAAUCCACGUAAAUGCAGAAGAACUUCAGUCUACUGCAAACAGUUGCCACUGCAGGCGUCUUCUCUGCAGUUUCUUUCUGGUAUGGAUUCAUGUUCGGCAGAGAGUCUGCUCGCAAGGAGCUGGAAAGCUUGAUUGAUAGUCUUCGCCGUAACAACAACUCUGAUUUGAGCUCAACUCCUCCAUAUUCCUGAAUCAGGUCUUAUCUUAUGGUUGGCUUAUCAGAUCUCCCAUGUCCAUCCCUUGUUCUUGCAACAUAUGAUUACAGUAAGAUCAUGUUCUCGUUCUGAAUAACCUGAUGGAAAACGAUAAGCUUAUUCCUUGAAGUAAAAAUACUCCCCGUCUCCCUAAUUGUGAAAUUAUAAUCUCCAUUGAUUAAACAAGUAACAAAUGAUGAUACUUGUUUGGGAGUAUUUUUACUCCCGAAAUACCUUUAGUAGUCUAAGCUGAUUGAUUAUUGGAUGUUGGUGGGACUGUAUAAACUUUUGUCAAAUAGAACAUAGAACUUUUUUUUUUUUUUUUUAUGCUGGCA